GACGAACGCUGGCGGCGUGCCUAAUACAUGCAAGUCGAACGAGAGCAACCGGUGCUUGCACUGGUCAAUCUAGUGGCGAACGGGUGAGUAACACGUGGGUAACCUGCCCAUCAGAGGGGGAUAACAUCCGGAAACGGAUGCUAAAACCGCAUAGGUCUUCGAACCGCAUGGUUUGAAGAGGAAAAGAGGCGCAAGCUUCUGCUGAUGGAUGGACCCGCGGUGCAUUAGCUAGUUGGUGAGGUAACGGCUCACCAAGGCCGUGAUGCAUAGCCGACCUGAGAGGGUGAUCGGCCACAUUGGGACUGAGACACGGCCCAAACUCCUACGGGAGGCAGCAGUAGGGAAUCUUCCGCAAUGGACGCAAGUCUGACGGAGCAACGCCGCGUGAGUGAAGAAGGUGUUCGGAUCGUAAAACUCUGUUGUUAGAGAAGAACAAGUGCUAGAGUAACUGUUAGCGCCUUGACGGUAUCUAACCAGAAAGCCACGGCUAACUACGUG
Molecule: ribosomal RNA, 498 nt
Filed under: uncultured bacterium
Lineage: Bacteria
Description: partial 16S ribosomal RNA
Rfam family: Bacterial small subunit ribosomal RNA
Source: RNAcentral